UGACCUCAAAUCAGGUAGGACUACCCGCUGAACUUAAGCAUAUCAAUAAGCGGAGGAAAAGAAACUAACAAGGAUUCCCCUAGUAACUGCGAGUGAACCGGGAAGAGCUCAAAUUUUGAAUCUGGCGGUCUUUAGGCCGUCCGAGUUGUAAUCUAGAGAAGCGUCUUCCGCGCUGGACCGUGUAUAAGUUUCCUGGAAAGGAACGUCGUAGAGGGUGAAAAUCCCGUCUUUGACACGGACUCCCAGGGCUAUGUGAUGCGCUGCCGACGAGUCGAGUUGUUUGGGAAUGCAGUCC
RNAcentral lists this ribosomal RNA (295 nucleotides) under uncultured fungus. Its description in RNAcentral is "partial 28S ribosomal RNA". It matches the Rfam family "Eukaryotic large subunit ribosomal RNA", at positions 1 to 288 of the family's 3401-position model. The record is from RNAcentral. Lineage: Eukaryota; Fungi.